This 87-nucleotide transfer RNA is filed under the name Gammaproteobacteria bacterium. RNAcentral describes it as "tRNA-Leu". It matches the Rfam family "tRNA". From Rfam's summary of the family: Transfer RNA (tRNA) molecules are approximately 80 nucleotides in length. RNAcentral also lists the same sequence under 1 other name. Lineage: Bacteria; Pseudomonadati; Pseudomonadota; Gammaproteobacteria. The record is from RNAcentral.
GCCGGGAUGGCGGAACUGGUAGACGCGGCGGACUCAAAAUCCGUUGGUGGUGACACCGUGUGGGUUCAAGUCCCUCUCCCGGCACCA